This 206-nucleotide ribosomal RNA is filed under the name uncultured bacterium. RNAcentral's name for it is "partial 16S ribosomal RNA". It matches the Rfam family "Bacterial small subunit ribosomal RNA", at positions 568 to 774 of the family's 1533-position model. The record is from RNAcentral.
AGCGCAGGUGGUUUAUUAAGUCUGGUGUAAAAGGCAGUGGCUCAACCAUUGUAUGCAUUGGAAACUGGUAGACUUGAGUGCAGGAGAGGAGAGUGGAAUUCCAUGUGUAGCGGUGAAAUGCGUAGAUAUAUGGAGGAACAUCGGUGGCGAAAGCGGCUCUCUGGCCUGUAACUGACACUGAGGCUCGAAAGCGUGGGGAGCAAACA